RNAcentral lists this ribosomal RNA (336 nucleotides) under Triticum aestivum (bread wheat). RNAcentral describes it as "partial small subunit ribosomal RNA". The record is from RNAcentral. Lineage: Eukaryota; Viridiplantae; Streptophyta; Magnoliopsida; Poales; Poaceae.
AUGUGCGUCGGCCUCGCGCGUUGGAUCCCUCCACCGAUAGGCCAUUGCAAGAUCAAAGUGGAUGGGGCCACAACCAAAUCAGCUAGACGCGGCUCAGUGGGUGACAUUUGCCAGGCCGUUGAUGGUUCUUAUUUGGGAGCGUCAGCUAUAUUUUUUGAAGGAGUUUCAGACCCGGCGACUCUUGAAGCUCUAACUUGCAGAGAAGCUCUGGCUUUGGCAUCGGAUCUCAUGGAGACACAUGUGGUCGUUGCGUCGAAUUGCAAGGAAGUUGUAUCCAAUAUCUCUGAAGGCAACGGAGGAAAAAAGAUGCUCAUAUCAUUCGAGAGAUCAAGUUAA